AGUUUAGCUGACAAAAAUUGAGCGUCAUGCAGCGAUGACAGUCAAGUUAAGGCAGCAAAAUGACUAGUUUCCUGGGUGAAACACUUGUGUUUCCCCCAGUAAUGAACUCUGAUCCCCGGCUUGAAAGCGUUGUGUUUUAUGGGGUUAGGGUUAGGGUUAGAGGAUUACGUGGAAUGCUUAUGCAUUACAGUCCUUAACGUUUCGUAGCUAUAUUUACAACAUGGUUCAUGAGAACAGCUUGAAGCUAACACCACUGUGUCCCUGUUAUGCAGCGACUGUUUUCCAUCCUCUGUAUCUUCAAAAAAAAAAAGAAAAAAAAAAAAAAAAGAUGUGUGCUUUUGUCGGUGCAUCUAGCACCGGGAAGGUUUUGGUUCCUUUAGCCACAGUUGUGUUUCUUUUCCCCAACUGGACAUGAAUGUGCCACAAAACUGCACAUUUUCUUUGAACAUUGUAGUUAAGUGUACCUUGUGCCUAUAUGACCCCCAUCCUCUCCUGUACUCAUCUAAAACUAUUCUAAUGUCUGUUUCUUGCUCAAGUCCCUCACUAGAGUUUUCUACAAAAAAAAGGCAAUUUCUUUGUAAAUACCACGUGUCGGAGCAGCUAUGACUAACUACAACAAAACGAGAAAAAAAAGAUUUAAUAAAUAUUUCUUUGUCGUUGUAA
Sander lucioperca (pikeperch) is the source of this 663-nucleotide long non-coding RNA. RefSeq lists it as uncharacterized. The transcript has 2 exons. The record is from RefSeq and is a predicted model, not a curated record. Lineage: Eukaryota; Metazoa; Chordata; Actinopteri; Perciformes; Percidae.